Molecule: ribosomal RNA, 273 nt
Filed under: uncultured bacterium
Lineage: Bacteria
Description: partial 16S ribosomal RNA
Rfam family: Archaeal small subunit ribosomal RNA
Source: RNAcentral
AAACCAGCUCCUCGAGGGGUCCCCACGCAUACUGGGCCUAAAGCGUCCGUAGCCGGCCCCGCAAGUCCUCGGUUAAAUCCACCGGAAGACCGGUGGGCUGCCGGGGAUACUGCGGGGCUAGGGAGCGGAAGGGGCCGGGGGUAUUCCGGGGGGAGCGGUAAAAUGCGUAGAUCCCCGGAGGACCACCGGUGGCGAAGGCGCCCGGCUGGAACGCGUCCGACGGUGAGGGACGAAAGCUGGGGGAGCAAACCGAAUUAGAAACCCUAGUAGUCC